AGUGAACGCUGGCGGUAGGCCUAACACAUGCAAGUCGAACGGCAGCACAGUAAGAGCUUGCUCUUACGGGUGGCGAGUGGCGGACGGGUGAGGAAUACAUCGGAAUCUACUUUUUCGUGGGGGAUAACGUAGGGAAACUUACGCUAAUACCGCAUACGACCUACGGAUGAAAGCAGGGGAUCUUCGGACCUUGCGCGAUUGAAUGAGCCGAUGUCGGAUUAGCUAGUUGGCGGGGUAAAGGCCCACCAAGGCGACGAUCCGUAGCUGGUCUGAGAGGAUGAUCAGCCACACUGGAACUGAGACACGGUCCAGACUCCUACGGGAGGCAGCUGUGGGGAAUAUUGGACAAUGGGCGCAAGCCUGAUCCAGCCAUACCGCGUGGGUGAAGAAGGCCUUCGGGUUGUAAAGCCCUUUUGUUGGGAAAGAAAAGCAGCAGGUUAAUACCCCGCUGUUCUGACGGUACCCAAAGAAUAAGCACCGGCUAACUUCGUG
This 492-nucleotide ribosomal RNA is filed under the name uncultured bacterium. RNAcentral describes it as "partial 16S ribosomal RNA". It matches the Rfam family "Bacterial small subunit ribosomal RNA", at positions 29 to 507 of the family's 1533-position model. The record is from RNAcentral.